RNAcentral lists this ribosomal RNA (253 nucleotides) under uncultured bacterium. RNAcentral describes it as "partial 16S ribosomal RNA". It matches the Rfam family "Bacterial small subunit ribosomal RNA", at positions 524 to 776 of the family's 1533-position model. The record is from RNAcentral.
UACGGGGGGGGCAAGCGUUGUUCGGAAUUACUGGGCGUAAAGCGCGUGUAGGCGGCCAGAAAAGUCCGCUGUGAAAACUCGAGGCUCAACUUCGAGCUGUCGGUGGAAACUUUCUGGCUAGAGUCCGGAAGAGGAGAAUGGAAUUCCUGGUGUAGCGGUGAAAUGCGCAGAUAUCAGGAAGAACACCCGUGGCGAAGGCGGUUCUCUGGGACGGUACUGACGCUGAGGCGCGAAAGCCAGGGGAGCAAACGGG